This 73-nucleotide transfer RNA is filed under the name Perkinsus chesapeaki. It matches the Rfam family "tRNA". Rfam says of the family: Transfer RNA (tRNA) molecules are approximately 80 nucleotides in length. Their secondary structure includes four short double-helical elements and three loops (D, anti-codon, and T loops). Further hydrogen bonds mediate the characteristic L-shaped molecular structure. tRNAs have two regions of fundamental functional importance: the anti-codon, which is responsible for specific mRNA codon recognition, and the 3' end, to which the tRNAs corresponding amino acid is attached (by aminoacyl-tRNA synthetases). tRNAs cope with the degeneracy of the genetic code in two manners: having more than one tRNA (with a specific anti-codon) for a particular amino acid; and 'wobble' base-pairing, i.e. permitting non-standard base-pairing at the 3rd anti-codon position. The record is from Rfam by way of RNAcentral. Lineage: Eukaryota; Perkinsozoa; Perkinsida; Perkinsidae.
GCCGGGACAGUCUAGUGGUUAUGACGUCUGCCUUACACGCAGAAGGACGCGAGUUCAAUCCUCGCUCCUGGUA